GGGUUGCAAUGCAUCUCUCUUAUAAUUUUUUGAUUUUUCCCUCAAUAUGUUGUAUCACAAAUCACCACACCAAUCUUCUUUGUAAACGCGACAUAUGACUCAUGGCAGCUGUCUUAGAGAAGGCAAAACUGAUGGGUAAUGCAGCACUGGAUGCAGCUUUGAAUGCUCAACUUUUGGUGCAGAUUGGUGUUUUUACUGCAGUACCAAUGAUAAUGAGUUUUAUACUUGAAUUAGGACUGCUGAAGAAGAAGAAGAAGACUCAGAAAGCUACAAACAAUGAUAAUGGGAAGGCGCCUCCUUCAUCCUGGAGUAUUUCUGCUCCAGUGGGAGGUAUUUCAUAAUAAGUCCGCCAGCAUGUCACCCCAAAAACUCAACUUUUUCUCAUUUCUUUGGCUGGAGUCCGCACAUCAAAUGAACGGAAAGGAAGCAUCUCAGUGCUGCUGCAAACAUGGCCAACCAACCUAACUUUGCCCGGGAUACUUGGAAAGAUACAGAUGACUGGAAACGAUAAAGACCAGAGAUAAAUGGCCACUUCUGAUUUGGUUAAUUAGUUGACCAAACCCACUUUUAGGGCCGAUCCUGAUCUCGAACUUAAAUUGAAAAAUAUCAUCAUACAACAACUAGACAUGCUGCUAGUGAUGUUUCUGGGACUUGCUGUCAAAUGCCUUGCUCCGUUAGUCAGGAAGAUGAAUGAGCCUUGCACCGUUAGUCAUCAUGCCUAUUGAAAUGUUUCAGAUGACAAUGGAAGUUACACAGAUCCAAUUAAAUGCCCAAGCAGUGGAUGGUGCUGUGAGGAAACAAGCUGAAGAUAACUUGAAACAAUUCCAGAUACCAGCAGCAGCGAAGACACAAUGAUGGUACUGAAGAUGCUGGCCUUGUUGGUCAUAUAUUCAUCUAAAUGAGUUCAAAUUUUGGCGUUCCUCUGGUGGUCUAUUCCAAAGGAAAAACUAUCAAUGCGAAGGAGGUGCUAGCUGCUGGUCCUCGGCCUCAACCUAUAAUGGAAACAGUUUUAAUUACUCUGAUGCAUGUUGGAUUACAUAGUGAGAAGGUGGAGUUAGAGGCUGUUUUUAUGAUAUGCGUGGUUUCUGCUGUUGAUUCUUGUCAAUGAGAAUUGGUCUGCACUGUACUUGACGAUCUUUCUAAGGAGCUUCAGUAUAUGACUAGAACGAAGAUGCUUAUUUGCUCUAUUAUGAUCUCGGACAAUAACUUGAUUUUCAUGCUUUUGUUCCGUAUACAUGUUACUAAGUAUUGAGUGAGAUUUACUGCAAGCGAUUAGGGAAAGAGAGGGAGAGAUAAGGCGAGGACGACCGGAAAUGUCUUUGGUUUACAAUAGAGGCUAUUUGUGUGGAUGCGAGUUGGUGACUGCAGUUGGAAAGAGAGAAAUGUCCUGCUACCAUCAAAGGGUGAAAUACACUCUGUGGUGUGAGACAUUAGAGUGGCAAUUGGUGGAGAUGGUAGCUGCGUGUGAUGGUGUGUUCAGAUCUUAUUCUCGACGAAGGAGAUGGAAGAUAGAUGUGUUGCAGAUCUUGUGAUGGAGGGCUGCUGAUCUGGUUGUAGAUCUUGUGGAUGGCUGCCGAUCUGGUUGGAGAUCUUGUGAAAGAAGGAUGCGGUUAGAGAAGAGAAGAAGAGAUUGCGUGUUAUGAUGCAAUAAUUUUAGUUUCGUACUCUAUUUUGUUCGUUGAAUGUCUUCCAAGAAUGCAAUAAUUUUUGCUUUUGCUAGUGUUAUAUUUCUUGUCCUCGUCUAUAAGUUUUCACUUUUCACCUUUUUGUUCCUUUUUCCAUGUGUCCUGGACAUUUUUAUCAUGUACGGUGCAUAUACAACUACCAGCUCUAUCACGGAUUUUUCUAAGAUUUCUUUGGUUUAGCCUUGCUUUAGUUUUGUAACUUUCCUUUAUGUGUAUAUUUGCCCAAAAUAAUGAUUUUUAUCUUAUAUCUUCAGGUUUUUGUUGUUUUUUAUUGAUGUGUUGAUGAUGUUUACAUUUACAACUCUUUGUUAUGAUGGCAGAAAAGCACUCCAGGAAGAGAGUAAAAGCGAUUCAAAUUCGGUUAUUUUCAGAUUUUAUGUUAUUGUUGUCGGGAUUUAUGCCGAUGUCCAGUUUUUCAUUAGUUUCCUCAUGCAGAUUCCUGCAUUGUCAUCUUCUGACAAACCAAUGUGAUCGUUGGCCUCUCAUUCGCUUUGUGAAGUGGCCGCGCCAGGAACGACAUUAUGUUGGACGGGGAAUGUAUGAAAGGAGUUUCGAUUUCAUAAAGUAUAUGCUGUUUUGGCUAGUCAUUUUGAGUGCAAAAUUUUUAUUUGCUUACUUUCUUCAGGUACGUGACAUACUCAUAGUUGCCUCCAAAUUGGAAUUAUACUGUUAGAACUGGUAUCUAAAUUAAUUAAAUAUACUGAAUUUACUAGAAUAUUUUAGAUAAUAAAUCUUGAAGCACUGUUCCGAAGAGCAGUGAUUACAUAUAAUGCAGUAGCAGUUCUUCCUCUGGCCAAAACUGACAGAUUCAUUUUCUGACGUAACAAUUACAGAAGUUACACACAAAUGACAGGAAUUUGAGAGCCCGUCCUCUCCCUAACCAACCGGUUUAUACCAAAUAAUGCCUCAAUUAAAACAACAAACUACUAUUUAUAGAGUUACACACACACUAAUAAAAACAUAACUGACAUAAUUAAAAUAACUUCUCCUAAUAAUAUAAUAACUGCCAUUAAUUACAUAAUAAAUACGUAAUAAUAUUUACUAAUAAGUGGUCUAACGUAUGCAUCUGUUUGUUCUUGUGUGCCUAUAUGUGGGUGAGUGGAUAAUAUUGCUUGUACCUACUGUGCGUAUGCUUAUAUGCUUGUACACUUGAAUGUUUUAUUUUUGAGGUUUUCAGAUCAAGCCACUUGUGAAACCAACAAGGGACAUAAUAAAAGAGAAAAACUUAGUUUACUCUUGUCAUGAUUUUGUAUCUAAAAGUAAGCGGUGGUCUGUUUAAGUUUGUGGUUAUGUCUUUUUGUUUCCUGUUGAUGCUAUUGGCUACUAAAGUGCCUUUAUUUUUGCUGAUAAUCUCAAUGCUUUGACAAUUGUUAGCAUAUGGUCUCCAGUGGUUUUCGUAAGUGCAUCACUGUUUUGCCUUUUUACCCCCUUGUAUGCUUUAGUUCUACUUUUUUCGUUAAUGAUAGCUUUCUUCUCUCGUGGGGAUGAAAUUGUCUUUCAAGA
This is an RNA transcript of Trifolium pratense (red clover), 3188 nucleotides long. It is a transcript of the gene named serine/threonine-protein kinase ATM-like, with no coding region annotated. Lineage: Eukaryota; Viridiplantae; Streptophyta; Magnoliopsida; Fabales; Fabaceae. The transcript has 18 exons. The record is from RefSeq and is a predicted model, not a curated record.